CACUCACGCCAGGCAGAAAGCCACACCUGCAGGAGCCUGCUCCCCACCCAAUGCCAGGGGCGGAAAUGUGGACAGAGGGCGACUUCUCCGCCAGCCUGGCGGGGGCCUGCAGCAAGCUCGCCGAUGCCCUCUGCGCCUGCUGGGCCCGCAGGGGCCUGACAAGCACUACUGUCUCCGGGCUACAGAGGACACCGGGGCUCAGAGCUGGACAACUGGCCCAAGCCCAGGCCGCACAUCGCGCAGCAGACAGUCUGCCGCACUCUGCGGGAGGUCACCCUGGGGCUGCUGUCCCUGCUCUGGCCCCCGCCCCAGCACCGCGGGCAAUCUAACAGGAAGGGGCAGGGGCCAGUUCUCUCUGGGACUCGGGCAGCGUCAAAGAUAAGGUGUCUUCAAAAAGCUCAUGGAAAACGUGUGUUGUGACGAAACUUGCAUGGCUUUCAAGUUUUCUGCCCCGAAAUAAACUGAUACUAACUUGUCA
RNAcentral lists this non-coding RNA (478 nucleotides) under Pongo abelii (Sumatran orangutan). Lineage: Eukaryota; Metazoa; Chordata; Mammalia; Primates; Hominidae. The record is from RNAcentral.